CAACUCUAUUUUAAAGCACUUUCCAUUUUAAAUAUAGCAAUAAAAUAUCAGCCUUGAAAUGUCUGAUAAGGAUAAAAGCAAUAGAUCCAAAUCCAAUCUGAAUCUGACACUGCCAGGAACAAGAAUUCACAUUGAAUCAGAGUCCAUGACACCCUCACCGAAUGACGAGCAAGGACCAUGGAGUACUCUGAUAGCCAAUCCCAAGCCACGUGGGACAUCAGAGGCGGGAAGGUACCUGAACAAAAUCAGGGUCCUUGUAAGAAGGAAGACCAGCUGCGGAGAGAUAAUCCAGAGCAGCCUCUACAGUCAGUGAAGUGGUUUCGGACACUCCGUCAAUGCCAGAUUCGUCACUGACUGACCUGCUUGGACUUGCUGCAAAAGAUUGACGGGGCUCAGGGCUCACAGCCCCCACUCUGGACCUUGUCGGAGCUUCGAGUCUCACUGGAGGUCUCAGCUGCAGAUACCCAGUCCACGGCUGUCCAGCGUGAAAAGGUAAAUUGCCUAGGGGCGGGAAAGGUGACCUCAAGAUCGAGCUCCUUGGUUCCACCUCCCAGGCUCCGGCCAAGUACAGUGUCCCAUCUGGAGCAAAAUCCUUUCAUUAUGGAUUAAAACUGGUGGUCAACUUAAUACCAGCUGAAUGAAAUCAGCAAGAUGCUGAGUGUAGAUGGCCCACCUGAAGAAAGUUGCCAGCACAGGAGAUGUGGAGAGAAAGAGCACGGACUGUGGGUUCCUGUUGCUGUUGUUCAGAGCCAUUGGCUCUCCUGGAGGAGCUUGUCAUGGCUGGCUUCCCUGAUGUGAACUUGACCACUGUUAUUGGAGGAGCUCGGGACCUUUUCACUGAGAGUGGCUGGAGUUCACUUUGGCUGGUCCUUAUACUGAGCAUCACCUCCUGGCUCUGGAGCAGAACAUGUGUGCUGUUUAAUCUCCAGGAGAAGCUUGUCACACUGGCUUCCUGUUCUAAUCAGAAGAGCUCGGGACCUCAUUGUCACUGAGGAUGGCUGUGGUACUUUUCACAUCCUUAUUUUGAGCUUUGCUUCUUGGCUCCUGUGUGGAACCCUCAAUCUACUAGCACACAUCCUUCACCCUGAAGCAUAGACUUCCUAGCUUUCACCGCUGACCUUUGGGUCUUCCCAGCACAAAUCCAUAAAACAGACUUGAAUGAGUUACUGCCAUGGGCUCUAGGCCUCCAGUUGGCUCCUGGGUUCUAGGUCUUCAGCUGGACUCAUGUAGGACAUUGCUGUGGAAUCCAGACCCUCGGCUAGAUUUUCCAGGUCUUUAUAGUGUUGUGAACAGAUUAUCACUCUGUAGAAUGAAAAAUCUCUGGGGGCAUGUCCAUCCCCAUGGAGGGGUCUAAGUAAGGGUGGAUUGGGUAUGAAGCCCUACUAUUCUUCUCCCUGAACCACAGGAACACAAACCAUAGGUGCUAGAAGAGCAAGCAAUGCAAGGAAAAGAUUUUCAGGUGAUUAAACCAAAUCCUGGCUGUUAACUUGGUGGCAAGGCUCACUGCUACAGGUCUUUCUACAACAGUGAACAGUGUGCUGUAAGGUUCAUUGCUUGAGGUCUCAGCAGAGGGUUUGAUGUGUUGCACAGGUGGAUUGGAUUCUGGCCACAGAACAGCUCUGAUGAAGUAAAAGAAUAAUGUUAACAAUUUAAUUUUACUUAAUUUUACAGUUGAACUAAUAAAGUUAUUGAUAAAUUUUUUAAAAUAUAGCUCUGAUGGUCAUAAUGUCUCUCGACUAUCUGUGGGAAUAUAAGCAUGUCCUUGGUCCCAAUUUAAAAGUAAUGUUGGAUCAUUCCAAGUAUCUCUUUGGAGGUCACACCAAGCAGGAUUCAAAAAGGUAAAAAGAAUGUUGUCUUUUGUGUAGCUAGUUAGUUUUUUAGUUUAAGAUGAAUGUGUUCAAUUACCAUUUGAUCUUGGAGAUUUUAGGGGAAUCCUUAUAACAUGCUCUAUACUCCAGUUAUCAAAAUAACUCUGAAAAUAUUUGCUAAUACAGGCAGGAUUGUUAUCAGUUUUUAAUUUUGUGGCACUCCUAAGGUAGCAAAGGCUGAUACACAAUGCUAUACGACAUGCUGACUUUAUUUACCUGAAUGAUAGGUAGUGUGGACCGCAUGAAGAGGGAAUCUAGAGAGGAAUGAAUAUAUUUAAGUUUGUUAGAAGAGGUUAUAUGGGGAAUAAUCAUUUACCAUAACUGAUUAGCUCUAAGAUGUCUGGGAAUUGUAACUGUUGAGGAACAGGCCUAGGAAAGAGCUGACAAGCAGGGCAUGACAUCACAAUUUGUCUAGCUUGUGUUCUGGUAAUGUUAAGUUCUUUUUGCAGAUCUUUAGAUUUUUGAUGAAAAAAUGUAUGGGAUUUUCUCAGUUUAUUAAAAAUGGAAAUCAAGUGUACAAGAGCAUCUGCAUUAUAAUUACCUAGUAACAAUGAACAUGGGAGAUUAUAAUGAGUUCUAAUAGGAUCAAUAAAGAAGGGAGUAGUUCUACUUAAUAUAGCCCUUAGGAGUUUUAACAGUGGUUGUAAUAGGGCCGAGGAUUUAGCUCAGUGGCAUAAGCACUGC
Long non-coding RNA from Cavia porcellus (domestic guinea pig), 2552 nucleotides. RefSeq lists it as uncharacterized. Lineage: Eukaryota; Metazoa; Chordata; Mammalia; Rodentia; Caviidae. The transcript has 5 exons. The record is from RefSeq and is a predicted model, not a curated record.